GACGAACGCUGGCGGCGUGCCUAACACAUGCAAGUCGAGCGGAAAGGCCCUGCUUUUGCGGGGUGCUCGAGUGGGGCGGGGGUGUGAAACACAUGAGUAUCCCGCCCUUGACUUUGUGAUAACUUCAGGAAACUGCGGAUAAUACAGGAGAGGAGAUCCUGCAGCAUGGUGGGCGUCGGAAAGUUUCGGCUGUGGGGGAUGUACUCGGGGCUUACCAGCUUGUUGGGGGGGUAGUUACCUACCCGGGCUUUGACGGGUAGACGGCGUGAGAGACUGAUCGGCCACACUGGAAGUGAGACACGCUCCAGACUCCUACGAGAGGCAGCAGUAGGGAAUGGUAGGCAGUGGGCGAGAGUCUGACACAGCGAGGCCGAGUGUGUGAAGGAGGUCCUCGGUGCGUAAAGCACGCUUACUGGUGAUAAACCGCUGUCGACUGAGACGAAGCGGUAUUGACGGUACCGAGUAAAGAAGCACCGGCUAACUACGUG
This 488-nucleotide ribosomal RNA is filed under the name uncultured bacterium. Its description in RNAcentral is "partial 16S ribosomal RNA". It matches the Rfam family "Bacterial small subunit ribosomal RNA", at positions 28 to 507 of the family's 1533-position model. The record is from RNAcentral.